Molecule: long non-coding RNA, 645 nt
Organism: Thunnus maccoyii (southern bluefin tuna)
Lineage: Eukaryota; Metazoa; Chordata; Actinopteri; Scombriformes; Scombridae
Exons: 3
Source: RefSeq, a predicted model, not a curated record
AGCAAAAGUAACAAUGGAUGUGCACUCUGUAUAUGUGCAGUGCAUUAUAUUCACACUGUAAAGGCUAUUGCCUUUUGUUAGUCUAGUAUUGUGUACCGCCAACUAAACGGACAUGUAUAAAGGGAUUGGACAGAACUUCUCUUUUCAUGUGGAAAUGAAUCCCUUCCAAAGGGACAAAACCGCUUUCACCCUUGGUUAUACAGUGAGGAUUUUAAGGAAAGCACCUUUUUUUCCCUCUACAUCUGAGGGAAAGGAACAAAGAAAAAGUUUGUAUCAGGCAAUAUCAACAGUUCUUUAAAAAAAAAAAAAAAAAGUAUAUUUCAAGAGAAAAAGAAGUGUUGACUUUUGCAAAUGAAUCUCAAGAUUUAUUCAGAGGAGUGAAAUCUUUCACAGUCGCCUACAGUAAAGGAGCACAGAGAUGGAUGCCUUUCUGCCAAGCUUUCAAAUCUCAGAGGACACUUUGAAACAAGGUGGAUGGACAACCUCAAAAAGAAGAGACCUGCGGAGAAUCAAAGCUACUAGUGGGGAACCUUGUGAACUACAUUCGGUUAAUUUGAAAAGCUUAAAUGCGGCAGGCGCAGAACGAGCCCCUCCUCACUCCCCUUCCAAAAGGAUUGAUUACACACCAACUGCUUUUUGCUCCUG